This 467-nucleotide ribosomal RNA is filed under the name uncultured bacterium. RNAcentral describes it as "partial 16S ribosomal RNA". It matches the Rfam family "Bacterial small subunit ribosomal RNA", at positions 28 to 507 of the family's 1533-position model. The record is from RNAcentral.
GACGAACGCUGGCGGCGUGCUUAACACAUGCAGUCGCACGGAAAGGCCCUGCUUUUGUGGGGUGCUCGGGUGGCGAACGGGUAAGUAACACGUGAGUAACCUGCCCUUGACUUUGGGAUAACUUCAGGAAACUGGGGCUAAUACCGGAUAGGAGCUCCUGCUGCAUGGUGGGGGUUGGAAAGUUUCGGCGGUUGGGGAUGGACUCGCGGCUUAUCAGCUUGUUGGGGGGGUAGUGGCUUACCAAGGCUUUGACGGGUAGCCGGCCUGGGAGGGUGACCGGCCACAUUGGGACUGAGAUACGGCCCAGACUCCUACGGGAGGCAGCAGUGGGGAAUAUUGCACAAUGGGCGGAAGCCUGAUGCAGCAACGCCGCGUGCGGGAUGACGGCCUUCGGGUUGUAAACCGCUUUCGCCUGUGACGAAGCGUGAGUGACGGUAAUGGGUAAAGAAGCACCGGCUAACUACGUG